UACAGAGGGUGCAAGCGUUAUUCGGAAUUAUUGGGCGUAAAGGGCGCGUAGGCGGCUUCGCAAGUGACGGGUGAAAUCCCUCGGCUUAACCGAGGAACUGCCUGUCAAACUGCGUGGCUUGAGACCAGGAGAGGUGAGUGGAAUUCCCAGUGUAGCGGUGAAAUGCGUAGAUAUUGGGAGGAACACCAGUGGCGAAGGCGGCUCACUGGACUGGUACUGACGCUGAGGCGCGAAAGCGUGGGGAGCAAGCAGG
This 253-nucleotide ribosomal RNA is filed under the name uncultured bacterium. RNAcentral describes it as "partial 16S ribosomal RNA". It matches the Rfam family "Bacterial small subunit ribosomal RNA", at positions 524 to 776 of the family's 1533-position model. The record is from RNAcentral.